This 463-nucleotide ribosomal RNA is filed under the name uncultured bacterium. RNAcentral's name for it is "bacterial SSU rRNA". It matches the Rfam family "Bacterial small subunit ribosomal RNA", at positions 28 to 524 of the family's 1533-position model. The record is from RNAcentral.
GAUGAACGCUGGCGGCGUGCCUAAUACAUGCAAGUCGAGCGGCAGCACGGUCUUCGGACUGGUGGCGAGCGGCGGACGGCUGAGUAACGCGUAGGAAUAUACCCCAAAGUGAGGGAUAACUGCCCGAAAGGGUGGCUAAUACCGCAUGUGGUCUUCGGACUAAAGCCUUCGGGCGCUUUGGGAAUAGCCUGCGUAAGAUUAGCUAGUUGGCGAGGUAAUGGCUCACCAAGGCGACGAUCUUUAGCUGGUCUGAGAGGAUGACCAGCCAGACUGGAACUGAGACACGGUCCAGACUCCUACGGAGGCAGCAGUAGGGAAUUUUCCACAAUGGGCGAAAGCCUGAUGGAGCAACGCCGCGUGCAGGAUGAAGGCCCUCGGGUCGUAAACUGCUUUAUGUGCGAAGAAUAUGACGGUAACACAUGAAUAAGGGUACGGCUAACUACGUGCCAGCAGCCGCGGUAAU